AGGGACGGGACGCGGUGCAGUG
Molecule: microRNA, 22 nt
Filed under: Homo sapiens (human)
Lineage: Eukaryota; Metazoa; Chordata; Mammalia; Primates; Hominidae
Description: hsa-miR-92b-5p
Gene: hsa-miR-92b-5p
Source: miRBase by way of RNAcentral